This 1756-nucleotide long non-coding RNA is filed under the name Gossypium barbadense (sea-island cotton). Its description in RNAcentral is "long non-coding RNA (GBAR_LNC013699)". Lineage: Eukaryota; Viridiplantae; Streptophyta; Magnoliopsida; Malvales; Malvaceae. The record is from RNAcentral.
GAUACUGUAUGGUAGCUUUUUUGUUUUUGGAUGGAAUUUCCAGUUCGUGAAGCAGAGAGGAGGGGGUAUCGUAAGGGGGAGAUUUUCUCCCCCUUCUGCGUUCAGUGUCGAGGCCAAGGUGGGGGUAGAGUCCAAUUAAGACUUCCAUGAAAAGUCUCAUUCAUGUUGAUUGAGGAGUUUCUUACUGAGCACUAAACCUUCUCUACUUUUGAAGAUAGACUGGAAAGCAAACUCAGAGAAUAGCUAAGUGAAAGUCAGAGACUCCAUUUUUUAGGAACUUAGACUACCUAUGUGCUGGUAAACUCCACCUAGACUGAGAUUCAUCAGUUCGAUCAUUUAGUUUGUGUCCUAAGUUCUAUAUCCUUCAGGAAAGGAUCAAUUCCUUCUCUAACUUCUACUUGGGGUCACUCCUCGGAAAGAUUCUUCAUUCGAGUUAGCUUCUUUCACUCCUUCACCCUUGACUGCAUUCCCGGAAAUGCCAUUCCCAUCCGCUAAACCUGCUCCUUCUGAGAAUGGUUUUACCCCGCUCUUCAAUCUUAUUCUGUUUCCGAUCCUGCUUCAGAUUCUCUUUCAGUUGUGGAAACAAGCCCUUAUUCCUAUCGGUUGAGUAGCCCAAGCUCCUUAAGAGCGUAUUGUCCCUUUUCCUGUGAAAGAAAGAGGUUGAUGCACCCAGCUACCCGAAGUAGAGCUGUCUUUGUCCCACCUUUCCUUACUGACUUUCCUAGUUUAGAUAGCGUAUUGAGAAUCAUGUCAAAAUACACCAAGACCUGGGCCCAGGUUCUCUUUCUUCAAGAAAGGGUAGCUUUAAACAACCCGCUUCCAAACACACCAAACAAGCAAGUGACUCCCCUUCCUUAGCGUACCCGUCCAUUAAGGCAUUCUUCCUUCUUGCGUAUGUGUUAUAGCUCUAAGCCCCAGUUCCUUGGUGAAAAGAGCUGUCGCCUUUAAAUCAUCGAAAAAAAAAGAAGGAACCGCUCGAAAGGGACUACACAACAAUGGCUCAUAACUGGAAAACAUAACAACAAUGUCUCCUAGCUGCAAAAAACUGGCUCCCAACUGAAAAUUUCUCUCGAUCACUCUCUAACAGAAAGCCAUUUUCCCUUUCGCAAAAAGUCAACUUGGACUUCUUUCCUAAGCGGAGAUUUGGACUACAUGGACCUAAGCAACCCGCCGACAGGGGCAGCCUUUCACUGUUGGAAACUUUGAUUUAGAUUGGUAGGAUUCUGUCUAAUCUUUCCUAAUUUAGAAAUUGCACUCAAUCAACAUAGUUUCCACUCAUUCCUUCUCGACCGCCUCUUUUCUAGUCACUUUUGAUCAAAUCUUUCUUGUGAUUUUCUAUUCUCUUAUGAGAAAUGGUUUGCUUCGUUUGAGCCGUCGUCGCUUAAUGCAUGUAGGGGGACUGGGGCAUUUCCCCCACGACCCCUUUUAUUUUAAAGGAGAACCAGAAGAACAACAAUGAACUCAAAGCUAAUGAAGGAGAUCCGCAACUUGAACAAGGUACACGAGAUCAUUCCUACCCCUUUCUAUUUCGACUUCUUUGAAAGGUGAAAGAGUAAGAAGCUAGACCGACUUGCUCUUAAAUUAAAAGCAGCAAGAGCAAGUAAGUAGGCUUUUCUCCGCAAGAACAAUCUUGACUUUCUUUAUACUUUCUUUAUAAUAUAAGGCCCUUUAAACGAUCGUAAAUGGCAUUGUACCUAUUUGGAGCUUUUCACAGUCAAAGUCAAACGUUUGUCGGUGGCAACAUCGGCAUGCGUUA